Molecule: ribosomal RNA, 371 nt
Filed under: uncultured organism
Description: bacterial SSU rRNA
Rfam family: Bacterial small subunit ribosomal RNA
Source: RNAcentral
CGUAGGGUGCGAGUGUUAAUCGGAAUUACUGGGCGUAAAGCGUGCGCAGGCGGUUUUGUAAGACAGGCGUGAAAUCCCCGGGCUCAACCUGGGAACUGCGUUUGUGACUGCAAGGCUAGAGUAUGGCAGAGGGGGUGGAAUUCCACGUGUAGCAGUGAAAUGCGUAGAGAUGUGGAGGAACACCGAUGGCGAAGGCAGCCCCCUGGGCCAAUACUGACGCUCAUGCACGAAAGCGUGGGUAGCAAACAGGAUUAGAUACCCUGGUAGUCCACGCCCUAAACGAUGUCAACUAGGUGUUGGGUGGGUAAAACCAUUUAGUACCGGAGCUAACGCGUGAAGUUGACCGCCUGGGGAGUACGGCCGCAAGGUUG